Triticum aestivum (bread wheat) is the source of this 1307-nucleotide long non-coding RNA. RefSeq lists it as uncharacterized. The record is from RefSeq and is a predicted model, not a curated record. The transcript is spliced from 6 exons. NCBI's taxonomy places the organism in Eukaryota, Viridiplantae, Streptophyta, Magnoliopsida, Poales, Poaceae.
GGACCUCCUCCUCGGCCGUGUUCUUCCUCGCCUCCCACCCACGCCCUUGGUUUCGUGUCCACGAUUCAGACACCGUGGUGGCGACUUGCCCGGCGGCGGCUCCUCUCCAUCCGCCCCCACUCUCGCCCUCCGCCUUCCCCAACAGAAGACACCACGCGAUGGAGAUGGCAGUGGCUGCACUCACGCUCCUGUUCCUCAGCCAUCUGAGUGGCCUUCUUGGAUUGAUUGUCUGGUGGCGGCGUGGUGUUAUUGGUUUGCUCAACAUUCGCCAUCAUUUCAUCAAUUCACAGCAGUGGCUAUUGGUUCGGCCCUUCUGCUCAUGCGAAUCUGUGGAUCGAUUGAUACGCAGGACUAAAACAAUUUUAAGUUUACUCAGGAUCCAGCCUACGCGCAUGAUCUAGCCGAGGCGGGGGGCGCUCGAUCCAAUUCGACGCGGGGGCAAUCCAUCGCAGCAAGGGGGAAAUGGAGGGAUGCGGGUGUUGCAAGCCGACGCUUCAUCUGAUCGAAACUGCUCUGCUCAUAUUUGAAGGCCGCAGUCAUUAUACGGUUACUCUGCACAAAUUCAUGGCAGGGGAUGUCCUAUCCUUUCCGCUGCCUCACGGUACAAAUCACUUGUGCAUACAGUGUGGGGCUCGCCAAUCGAUGCGGAGAAGAUCUCACCGGCCGAUGCAGGGAAGUUCAUCCGCCGUUUUUCAAGCGAGGAGUAAAGUGCUCGCUUGUUUUGUAUAUAUCAAUUAAUGGCAGUCGAGGGAGCGAUGGUGACGGAUGGUGGAGGUGCGGUACAAUUUUGCUCUGGUUAUGGUAUAUUGUUUGGGGACUAUUCAAGGCUGGUUCUGGAAUUUUAUUUGAAGAGAUAUUGAUGGGUUGACUAUUUGCAAUGGCAAUCAGGUCUUUUACUAUUAGGCCAACAACAAGCGCAGGCUGCACGCCGCGAGCACUGAGCGCAGUCGAUGAGCUCGCCGCCUGUUGAAACUCCGUUGCUGAACAUGUAUGGUGACCUUAAUAUAUAUCUCACAAACUACAUCAUGAUUGGUCUCCGCCCUUGGAAGCCCUUGGGAAGUCAUCAAACGAGGCAUCUCAUCUAUCCUUAGCAUCAGCAUAGCAAGGACGAUGAAGUGGGUUUGAGCCAAGACCUCUAAUGAUGUUUCUACUUCUCUUUCUUCAAGUGCCUUCAUCUGGUGGGCAUAAGUAGUCUUAGUAUUGUACCUGGUAUUGAUAUCCAGUUUCAAUGCUUUAGCAUUUUUGUUUCAAACAUUUUGAAAUGACUUAUAAAACACAGAACACCCUCAAGGAACAUGUUCAUGCAA